CUUAUUCUUUGUUAGCUGUUAUUGGGCUUUUAAUUUUUUUGUUAUCUGUUAUUGUGAUAAUGUAUUUGCUGUUAACUGUUAUUGAAAAUUGGAAUGUUAGCAUUUUUUUUUGACAGUCAAUAUUCGGUAUAAAUUGAAGAUCAUUGGCCAUUGGGUCUACCACUACUGAUAUGUUUGUCCCGUAUUCAGAGAAGGAUUCCAUUAACAUAUACCCAUCACAGAAGUG
RNAcentral lists this long non-coding RNA (226 nucleotides) under Mytilus galloprovincialis (Mediterranean mussel). Lineage: Eukaryota; Metazoa; Mollusca; Bivalvia; Mytilida; Mytilidae. The record is from RNAcentral.